AUUGAACGCUGGCGGCAUGCUUUACACAUGCAAGUCGAACGGCAGCGCGGGCUUCGGCCUGGCGGCGAGUGGCGAACGGGUGAGUAAUGCAUCGGAACGUGCCCAGUAGUGGGGGAUAGCCCGGCGAAAGCCGGAUUAAUACCGCAUACGACCUGAGGGUGAAAGCGGGGGACCGAAAGGCCUCGCGCUAUUGGAGCGGCCGAUGGCGGAUUAGCUAGUUGGUUGGGUAAAGGCUUACCAAGGCGACGAUCCGUAGCUGGUCUUAGAGGACGACCAGCCACAAGGGGGCUGGGAAAAGGCCCAAGAUCCUAAGGGAGGGCGGAGGGGGGAAUUUUGGACAAAGGGGGCAAACCUGAUCCAGGCAAGCCGGGGGGGGGAAGAAGGCCUUCGGGGUGGAAACCGCUUUUGUUCGGGAAGAAAUCCUCUGGGCUAAUACCCCGGGGGGAUGACGGUACCGGAAGAAUAAGCACCGGCUAACUACGUG
Molecule: ribosomal RNA, 484 nt
Filed under: uncultured bacterium
Lineage: Bacteria
Description: partial 16S ribosomal RNA
Rfam family: Bacterial small subunit ribosomal RNA
Source: RNAcentral